AUCUGAGAUAGUCCUGUCGGUAUUGCUUCAACUAGGUUAAGCCCGGUAAAACAAAGAUGACAGUUGAUGAAAGUUACUCUCGCUCGCGUUUGAACGCCUACUCCAACAACAUGCAUCAACUUUGAACUGGUUCAAAUGCGGUGAUAUCCAAUCAACUCUCAUCAACUCCCAUGCAACUCUUGUUCUCGUUUGCUCGGUGAAUGAGAGUUGAGGAACCUCUCAUGCAAACGUUUGCUUCUCCACUCUUAUCAACUCUUUUUCCGUUAUGUUUUUAGCUUGCUCGAAUGAACCCAUUGC
Molecule: non-coding RNA, 297 nt
Organism: Paramuricea clavata
Lineage: Eukaryota; Metazoa; Cnidaria; Anthozoa; Malacalcyonacea; Plexauridae
Source: the annotation of a GenBank genome assembly